RNAcentral lists this non-coding RNA (107 nucleotides) under Asticcacaulis sp. AC466. RNAcentral describes it as "SAM riboswitch aptamer (S box leader)". It matches the Rfam family "SAM riboswitch aptamer (S box leader)". From Rfam's summary of the family: The SAM riboswitch is found upstream of a number of genes which code for proteins involved in methionine or cysteine biosynthesis in Gram-positive bacteria. Lineage: Bacteria; Pseudomonadati; Pseudomonadota; Alphaproteobacteria; Caulobacterales; Caulobacteraceae. RNAcentral also lists the same sequence under 1 other name. The record is from Rfam by way of RNAcentral.
CACUCAUCGAGACCAGUCGAGGGAAAGGCCCGACGACGCUGGGGCAACCGCUGCAAACGCAGAAUGGUGCCAACUCCUACAGGGCGCAUUUCCCUGACAGAUGAGAG